UUGCACUCAUCCGAUCGUCACUAGAAGCCGCAUUGAUAAACACUAGAUAUAUCUUAAAUGGUUCCUGUGGAUAUUGUGGUCAUGAGUUAUGUGUGGUGUGCCAUCGCAGAGAUGAUUGUGUGUUUCUUGAAGGUCUGUCGGGCGCCAAUAAUUUGGAGUUGAUAGCUAACUACGUUAUGGUAUGCUUGCACUCUUUUCUAGUGGAUAUGCUCGCUGUUUUGCUAACACUGUUUGUUGUUUUCUGUUCACCC
This 251-nucleotide long non-coding RNA is filed under the name Hordeum vulgare. RNAcentral describes it as "long non-coding RNA (HVUL_LNC019071)". The record is from RNAcentral. Lineage: Eukaryota; Viridiplantae; Streptophyta; Magnoliopsida; Poales; Poaceae.